AAUCAACGCUGGCGGCGUGCCUAACACAUGCAAGUCGAACGCGAAAAUGGAGCAAUCCAUGAGUAGAGUGGCAAACGGGUGAGUAACACGUGGGUGACCUGCCUUCGAGUGGGGGAUAACGUCCCGAAAGGGACGCUAAUACCGCAUAAUAUGCUGUCUUUUAAGAGAGAGACAUCAAAGCCGGGGACCGCAAGGCCUGGCGCUUGAAGAGGGGGCCCGCGCCUGAUUAGCUAGUUGGUGGGGUAAUGGCUCACCAAGGCAACGAUCAGUAUCCGGCCUGAGAGGGCGGACGGACACACUGGGACUGAGACACGGCCCAGACUCCUACGGGAGGCAGCAGUGGGGAAUUGUUCGCAAUGGGCGCAAGCCUGACGACGCAACGCCGCGUGGAGGAUGAAGAUCUUCGGGUCGUAAACUCCUUUCGAUCGAGACGAAUGGCCCUUGGGAUAAUACCCUGAGGGAGUGACGGUACCGAGAGAAGAAGCCCCGGCUAACUCCGUGCCAG
Molecule: ribosomal RNA, 505 nt
Filed under: uncultured bacterium
Lineage: Bacteria
Description: bacterial SSU rRNA
Rfam family: Bacterial small subunit ribosomal RNA
Source: RNAcentral